Molecule: long non-coding RNA, 1311 nt
Filed under: Phascolarctos cinereus (koala)
Lineage: Eukaryota; Metazoa; Chordata; Mammalia; Diprotodontia; Phascolarctidae
Description: lncRNA (ENSPCIG00000031239.1)
Source: RNAcentral
GCUUCUUUUUGCUUUCUCGUGUCUUCAGGUUAUCAGCUUUCCUUCUCUGUGAGAUACUUUUCCUUGUGAGGGGUUUUAUUCUUUCACCUUGGUGACUUUCUAGCUAUUCCUGAAUCGAUGGAAAGGAGCCAGGCUCAAACAUGACGACUGACUUUGUCACCUUGCCUUUCCUCCUCCAAUUAUAUUAAAUGUUGCUUGAAAUAACCUGGGGCUGGGAAAUCUUUUUUACUAUACAGAAAUUUUGGUUGAAAUGUAACUACCCAUUAUAAAAGGCCUUGCCAGCCCAUGGGUUCAUUUAUAAAGAGGGUGAAACCAGAGGAUUUUAUGAGCUGGAAGCGACAUUAAGGGAUUAUUUAGUCUAACCCCAUCAUUUUACAGGGGAGAAAACUGAAGCGGAGGGAAAUAACUAGAUUUGCCCAAAGUUGUACAGCUAAUUAGUAACAAAGCAAGGACUGGAACCCAAAUGCUCUGGACUGCUACACUAAAGGCCUUUCCAUUAUACCACCAAAUCAUAACUAUCAAACCCCCAUUCAGAAUGAUAUACUGUGUUCUCUCACUGUAACUUCAAAAGCCUAAAAAGGUAGGCUUGUCCCCUUAAAAGAAUUGCUCUAACAGGAUUCUACCAUAUUUGGUAUAAGGGGAUUUCAUCUUGAAUGGUUGGAUACACCACUCAGUUAUCUUCUGGAAUCAUUAGGAAAUGGGCUAGGUGAGUAAUCUCGACUAGCCCUCAAGUUAUUAUUGAGGGCUCUGAAUACUUGCGUGGGGGGACGCCUCAGAAAGUCCUGGGGGAACUGCAGGGAGGCCUUAUGAUUCAUCCUGGGUUCCUUACCCUUUCUCCGCCCCCAUCUCCCGAACCCAGAAAACCAAAUAACAUUCCUAAGACCAACAGAGAGGCUCAGCACAUUGUUCCUCCUGAAGGAUGGCUCUGUUCCAAACAGGAUGAUGAAAAGGACAGUGUCUGAGUACCAGUUCAUGCAUGAUAAAGGGAAGACCAUGCAAUCCCUGAAAAGGCUAAUGUGGUUAUACAAUGCCAUGGGUGGGGUGCACUCUGCCAGGGGCAGUGCUCCUUCCUACUCAAACAGUCUGUGGAAACUGCAGAAGCGCCUGACCCAUCCUAGUCUGUACAGAGAUACAAGUGGGGUGAACACUCACAACCUGGUGAAGCAAAUGCUGAUUAGCCUGAUGACGGAUGCCCAGCCUACUAGAUUGUAAAAUCCACCCAGACAGAAGUAAUUUCUUAUCCAAGCUUCGUGCCUGGAAUAGUGCUCUGUAUACAGGAGCUGAUUAAUAAAUGCUAGUUGAAUGAAUGCA